GAUGAACGCUAGCGGCAGGCUUAACACAUGCAAGUCGAGGGGUAACAGGGUGCUUGCACCGCUGACGACCGGCGCACGGGUGCGUAACGCGUAUAGAACCUACCUUUUACAGGAGAAUACCCCAGAGAAAUUUGGAAUAAUGCUCCAUAGUAUUAUUGAAUGGCAUCAUUUGAUAAUUAAACAUUUAUGGGUAAAAGAUGGCUAUGCGUUCUAUUAGCUAGAUGGUAAGGUAACGGCUUACCAUGGCAACGAUAGAUAGGGGUCCUGAGAGGGAGAUCCCCCACACUGGUACUGAGACACGGACCAGACUCCUACGGGAGGCAGCAGUGAGGAAUAUUGGACAAUGGAGGCAACUCUGAUCCAGCCAUGCCGCGUGCAGGAAGACGGUCCUAUGGAUUGUAAACUGCUUUUAUACAGGAAGAAACACUCCCUCGUGAGGGAGCUUGACGGUACUGUAUGAAUAAGCACCGGCUAACUCCGUGCCAGCAGCCGCGGUAAUACGGAGGGUGCAAGCGUUAUCCGGAAUCAUUGGGUUUAAAGGGUCCGUAGGCGGGCUAAUAAGUCAGGGGUGAAAUCCAACAGCUUAACUGUUGAAUUGCCUUUGAUACUGUUAGUCUUGAGUUAUAUGGAAGUAGAUAGAAUGUGUAGUGUAGCGGUGAAAUGCUUAGAGAUUACACAGAAUACCGAUUGCGAAGGCAGUCUACUACGUAUAUA
Molecule: ribosomal RNA, 714 nt
Filed under: Lutibacter sp.
Lineage: Bacteria; Pseudomonadati; Bacteroidota; Flavobacteriia; Flavobacteriales; Flavobacteriaceae
Description: bacterial SSU rRNA
Rfam family: Bacterial small subunit ribosomal RNA
Source: RNAcentral